This is a long non-coding RNA of Papaver somniferum (opium poppy), 465 nucleotides long. RefSeq lists it as uncharacterized. The record is from RefSeq and is a predicted model, not a curated record. Lineage: Eukaryota; Viridiplantae; Streptophyta; Magnoliopsida; Ranunculales; Papaveraceae. The transcript has 3 exons.
CCGCCGUCACCACUUAAUAGAUGGGUUAUAAAUGGAAAAUGGGUUUUGUGUCUCAUGCACCUUGGAAUAUAAAAUUGUUAAUUUGGAUAUUAAUGGGUUUGAGCGGAAUUGGAACGGAGGAUUUCAUACCUCUCCAACAGGACGAUCUGGCGUGGGUAGCUGUCCAUAAUCAUCAGCAAAGACACAAAUUUCACUCCCAUAGCAAAAGACGGAGGCUAGGAAUUUGGUUGAACAAGGCGGUCGAAACUGAAGUGCAGAAGUGCCGGAAUUACUAUAAGAAGUGUGUAUGAUGCUGAUGGCCUAGUGAUCUCUAAUGGAUGAAUUCUCUUAUAAAACCUCUUGAGAUCAUAUUUCACCUGAAAAAAGCUUAACGACGGUGCUUAUGAUGCCGAUGACAUAAUGAAUGAUUUCUCUUACGAAAUCUCUUGCAACAAGGAUUCCUAGUUUUCUCAUUGCCAUAAUGAC